Molecule: ribosomal RNA, 468 nt
Filed under: uncultured bacterium
Lineage: Bacteria
Description: partial 16S ribosomal RNA
Rfam family: Bacterial small subunit ribosomal RNA
Source: RNAcentral
GACGAACGCUGGCGGCGUGCUUAACACAUGCAAGUCGAACGGACAGGCCCUGAUUUUGUGGGGUGCUCGAGUGGCGAACGGGUGAGUAACACGUGAGUAUCCUGCCCUUGACUUUGGGGUAAAUUCAGGAAACUGGGGCUCAUACCGGAUAGGAGCUCCUGCUGCAUGGUGGGGGAUGGACAGUUUCGGCGGUUGGGGAUGGACUCGCGGCUUAUCAGCUUGUUGGUGGGGUAGUGGCUUACCAAGGCUUUGACGGGUAGCCUGCCUGAGCGGGUGACCGGCCACAAUGGGACUGAGAGACGGCCCAGAAUCCUACGGGAGGCAGCAGUGGGGAAUAUUGCACAAUGGGCGGAAGCCUGAUGCAGCAACGCCGCGUGCGGGAUGACGGCCUUCGGGUUGUAAACCGCUUUCGCCUGUGACGAAGCGUGAGUGACGGUAAUGGGUAAAGAAGCACCGGCUAACUACGUG